CUACGGGUGGCAGCAGUGGGGAAUAUUGGACAAUGGGCGAAAGCCUGAUCCAGCCAUGCCGCGUGUGUGAAGAAGGCCUUCGGGUUGUAAAGCACUUUCAGUGGGGAAGAAAGCCUUGGGGCUAAUACCCUCGAGGAAGGACAUCACCCACAGAAGAAGCACCGGCUAACUCCGUGCCAGCAGCCGCGGUAAUACGGAGGGUGCGAGCGUUAAUCGGAAUUACUGGGCGUAAAGCGCGCGUAGGCGGUCUGAUAAGCCGGUUGUGAAAGCCCCGGGCUCAACCUGGGAACGGCAUCCGGAACUGUCAGGCUAGAGUGCAGGAGAGGAAGGUAGAAUUCCCGGUGUAGCGGUGAAAUGCGUAGAGAUCGGGAGGAAUACCAGUGGCGAAGGCGGCCUUCUGGGCUGACACUGACGCUGAGGUGCGAAAGCGUGGGUAGCAAACAGGAUUAGAUACCCUGGUAGUC
Molecule: ribosomal RNA, 464 nt
Filed under: Vreelandella stevensii
Lineage: Bacteria; Pseudomonadati; Pseudomonadota; Gammaproteobacteria; Oceanospirillales; Halomonadaceae
Description: partial 16S ribosomal RNA
Rfam family: Bacterial small subunit ribosomal RNA
Source: RNAcentral